AAGUGGAAAAGGAUGUGGCGUUGCCCAGACAACUAGGAUGUUGGCUUAGAAGCAGCCAUCAUUUAAAGAGUGCGUAAUAGCUCACUAGUCGAGUGACACUGCGCCGAAAAUGUACCGGGGCUAAACAUAUUACCGAAGCUGUGGAUUGUCCUUUGGACAAUGGUAGGAGAGCGUUCUAAGGGCGUUGAAGCAUGAUCGUAAGGACAUGUGGAGCGCUUAGAAGUGAGAAUGCCGGUGUGAGUAGCGAAAGACGGGUGAGAAUCCCGUCCACCGAUUGACUAAGGUUUCCAGAGGAAGGCUCGUCCGCUCUGGGUUAGUCGGGUCCUAAGCUGAGGCCGACAGGCGUAGGCGAUGGAUAACAGGUUGAUAUUCCUGUACCACCUAUAAUCGUUUUAAUCGAUGGGGGGACGCAGUAGGAUAGGCGAAGCGUGCGAUUGGAUUGCACGUCUAAGCAGUAAGGCUGAGUAUUAGGCAAAUCCGGUACUCGUUAAGGCUGAGC
This 499-nucleotide ribosomal RNA is filed under the name Staphylococcus aureus. Its description in RNAcentral is "partial 23S ribosomal RNA". It matches the Rfam family "Bacterial large subunit ribosomal RNA", at positions 1061 to 1561 of the family's 2925-position model. Lineage: Bacteria; Bacillati; Bacillota; Bacilli; Caryophanales; Staphylococcaceae. The record is from RNAcentral.